RNAcentral lists this ribosomal RNA (497 nucleotides) under uncultured bacterium. RNAcentral describes it as "partial 16S ribosomal RNA". It matches the Rfam family "Bacterial small subunit ribosomal RNA", at positions 28 to 507 of the family's 1533-position model. The record is from RNAcentral.
GAUGAGCGCUGGCGGCGUGCCUAAUACAUGCAAGUCGAGCGAACGGACGAGAAGCUUGCUUUUCUGAUGUUAGCGGCGGACGGGUGAGUAACACGUGGAUAACCUACCUAUAAGACUGGGAUAACUUCGGGAAACCGGAGCUAAUACCGGAUAAUAUUUUGAACCGCAUGGUUCAAAAGUGAAAGACGGUCUUGCUGUCACUUAUAGAUGGAUCCGCGCUGCAUUAGCUAGUUGGUAAGGUAACGGCUUACCAAGGCAACGAUGCAUAGCCGACCUGAGAGGGUGAUCGGCCACACUGGAACUGAGACACGGUCCAGACUCCUACGGGAGGCAGCAGUAGGGAAUCUUCCGCAAUGGGCGAAAGCCUGACGGAGCAACGCCGCGUGAGUGAUGAAGGUCUUCGGAUCGUAAAACUCUGUUAUUAGGGAAGAACAUAUGUGUAGGUAACUGUGCACAUCUUGACGGUACCUAAUCAGAAAGCCACGGCUAACUACGUG